Molecule: ribosomal RNA, 2755 nt
Filed under: Paramoeba pemaquidensis
Lineage: Eukaryota; Discosea; Flabellinia; Dactylopodida; Paramoebidae
Description: bacterial LSU rRNA
Rfam family: Bacterial large subunit ribosomal RNA
Source: RNAcentral
UAUAAUAAAUAGAAAUUUUUUAUAGGCAUUUGACGGAUACCUGGCUAAUUAAAAUGAAAAGGGCGUUUAAUACGAAAUAUAAAUGUAAAAUAAUAAUAAUUUUUUAAUGUUUAUAAACCCUAAGGGAAAACCUACAUAUAUAAUAUGUAUAUAAAAUAUAGUGAAUUGAAUCAUCUUAGUAGCUAUAAAAAAAAAUAAAAAUGAUUUUAUUAGUAGUGGCGAACGAAUAUAAAAUAACUAAAAUAAACUUUAUUUAAUAUUAAUUUAAGAAUAAUUUGGAAAAAUUAACUAUAUAAGUGAUAGUCUUGUAUUGAAUUAUUUAUUUAAAGAUUUUGAGUAAAACAAAUUUUAAUUUGUUUGAAGAAUAGGGAACCAUCCUUAAAAGUUAAAAAAUUUUAAUUAAGCGAUAGUGAAAAAGUACUGUGAAGGAAAGGUGAAAAGUAAUUCUAAUAGGAUGUUGAAAAGAUCUUGAAAUCAAAUGCUUAAUAGCAGUCUAAGCAUAUUUUAAAUAUGUGCAGAUGUACCUUUUGCAUAAUGGGUCAGUGAGUUAAUUAAUUUAGCAAAAUAUAAAUAUUUUAAAUAAUAUAAGGUUAUAAAUAAUCUGUUUAAAGUUAAGUUAAUUAGACCCGAAACCAAGUGAUCUAGCCAUGAGCAGGUUGAAGUUAAUUAAAAGUUAAUGGAGGACCGAACCCGUUUAUGUGGAAAUAUAUUGGGAUGACUUGUGGUUAGGGGUGAAAGGCUAAUCAAACUUGGAGAUAGCUGGUUUUCUACGAAAUUUAUUUAAGUAAAGCUUAAUCUAAAUGUUUAUUAAAGGUAGAGUACUACAAUGAAACCCUAAGGUUCAGGUAAACUUCGAAUAUUAAUAAAUUUAGGAUUAAAGACAGAUAGUUGGCGAUAAGGUUAAUUAUCAAGAGGGAAAGAGCCCAGAUUAUAAGUUAAGGUUUCUAAAUUAUAAUUAAGUUAAGAAGAAUAUUUUAUUACUAAAACAAAUUGGAGGUAAGCUUAGAAGCAGCAAUCCUUUAAAGAAAGCGUAACAGCUCACAAUUUAUAGUAAUCUUAAUUCAAAAAUGUAAAGAAAAUUAAAUUAUAUACCGAAGCUAUAAAAUUUUUUUAAAAAACAAAUUGGUAGUAGAACGCUUUAUAGUAUUUUAAUAAUGAUUGAGAAAUCAAAAAAUUAAAGUUGAAUAUACUGGCAUAAGUAGCGAAAGUAAUGUUUUAGAAACAUUACCAUCUAAAUAUCUAAGGUUUCUGAUGUAAAGAUAAACUGCAUUAGGUUAAUCGGCCCCUAAAAUGAAUAUGACAAUAAUAAUUGAUGGGAAAAUAAAUUAAUAUUUUUAUUUUAUUAUUAAUAGGUGACAAAUGAUUAAAUUUAGAAAUACAAAUGCAUUAUGUAUUUCUAUUAUAAUCAUUUCUGGAAAUAGCAUUAAUAAAAUUUUUUUAGGAAAACCGUACUAAAACCAACACAGGUAGAUUAGUAGAGUAUACUAAGAUGGUUAAUAUAAUAAUACCGAAGGAACUCGGCAAAAUAACUCUGUAACUUCGGGAGAAAGAGUACUUUUUUUAAUGAAAUAAAGUUAAAAUAAAGUGUAACAGAAUAGGAGAUGGCGACUGUUUAUCAAAAACAUAGGACUUUGCUAAAUUUUUUAAUGAUGUAUAAGGUCUGACGCCUGCCCAGUGCUAUAAAGGUAAUAGAGAUUGUUUAAAUUUUUUUAAGCUUUUGAUUGAAUUAGUAGUAAACGGCAGCUGUAAAUAUAACGGUUCUAAGGUAGCGAAAUUCCUUGUCGAGUAAGUUUCGACCUUGCAUGAAUGGCGUAACGACUAUCUCACUGUCUCCGGUAUUAUAUUAGCGAAAUUGAAUUUUCUGUGCAGAUGCAGAGUAUUAGCGGCUAGACGAAAAGACCCUAUGCACCUUUACUGCAUUUAUACUUUGUUUAUUUAUUUUGAAUUUAUAGGAUAUAAAAUAAUCGUUUGUAAUUUUUAAUUGCAUGAAAAUCUUAUUAUAUAUAAAUAAUAAUUAUUUAGGUGAUCUUGGAAUAAUUUAAUUUCAAAAUAAAAAACUUAAUAUUUAAGAUAUAGUAUAUUUGGUAGUUUCUCUGGGGCGGAGACCUCAUAAAAAGUAACUGAGGUGUACAAAGGCAAUUAAAACUUUUUAAGUUAGGGCGUGUAAUGGCUAAAAAUUGCUUAACUGUAAGACUAACAAGUCAAACAGAGAUUAUUUUAAAAGUCGGUCAUAGUGAUCCAAUAUUUUUUAAUGGAAAAAAUAUUGCUCAACGGAUAAAAGGUACGCUAGGGAUAACAGGCUUAUGACUCCUGAGAGAAGAUAUCGACGGGGUCGUUUGGCACCUCGAUGUCGAUUGGUCACAUCCUGGUUAGGAAGAAUGUUCCAAGGGUAAGGCUGUUCGCCUUUUAAAGUGGCACCUGAAUUGGGUUCAGAACGUCGUGAGACAGUUCGGUUUCUAUCUACCGUUAACGUAUUAAAAUUGAAGGGAUCUAAUCCUAGUACGAAAGGACUGGAAAAGGAAUAUCACUGGUGUAUUGGUUGUAAUGGCAAUUGCAUCGCCAAGUAGCUAAAUAUUAAUAAUAUAAUUAUUGAAAUCAACUCAAAUAAGAAGAUAACCCUAAGAAAAUUUUAAGAUGGUUAACUGUGAAAGAUUAUCACUUUGUUAAGUAAUAUAUAGAAGCUUUGUGAAAAGUUUAGUUGAAUUACAUUAAUUGUUAACCCAAAAUUUCUAUUUAUUUAUAUAAUAUUUUUUAA